This is a long non-coding RNA of Helianthus annuus (common sunflower), 449 nucleotides long. RefSeq lists it as uncharacterized. The record is from RefSeq and is a predicted model, not a curated record. Lineage: Eukaryota; Viridiplantae; Streptophyta; Magnoliopsida; Asterales; Asteraceae. The transcript has 3 exons.
ACCGGGUCAGCUCCCUAGAUAUUCUGGUGCAAUAGAUGCCGUUAAACAAACAAUAGCAGCAGAGGGUCCACGGGGUCUAUACAAAGGCAUGGGUGCCCCUCUUGCCACUGUGGCAGCUCUAAAUGUUGUUCUGUAUACAGUUAGAGGGCAAAUGGAAGCACUUUUGAGGUCUGAGCCCGGUGCACCCUUAACCGUGAACCAGCAGGUGGUUGCUGGAGCCGGUGCUGGAGUUGCUGUUGCCAUUUUGGCCACCCCAACUGAGUUAGUCAAGUGCAGGACAGUCCAUUUUUUUCAAUAAUUAGUUUAAGAUUUAUUAGUACGAAAGUGGUCAACAUUUAUUAGUACCAGUUGAGAAUAAUGAUGCCCAAAAUGUAAUUCAACAACCCGAUCCAAACGAUUCGUUCACAUUCAAGACUUCAGGUACAAAGGGGAGUGAGCAGUACAUGGAA